RNAcentral lists this ribosomal RNA (446 nucleotides) under uncultured Acholeplasma sp. Its description in RNAcentral is "bacterial SSU rRNA". It matches the Rfam family "Bacterial small subunit ribosomal RNA", at positions 933 to 1382 of the family's 1533-position model. The record is from RNAcentral. Lineage: Bacteria; Bacillati; Mycoplasmatota; Mollicutes; Acholeplasmatales; Acholeplasmataceae.
UGGAUCAUGUGUUUAAUUCGAUACGAUACGCGAAGAACCUUACCAGGUCUUGACAUCCCCCGCGAUGCUUUAGAGAUAAAGCGGAGGUAUUCGGGGAGACAGGUGGUGCAUGGUUGUCGUCAGCUCGUGUCGUGAGAUGUUGGGUUAAGUCCCGCAACGAGCGCAACCCCUAUUGCUAGUUACCAUCAUUAAGUUGGGGACUCUAGCGAGACUGCCAGUGAUAAACUGGAGGAAGGUGGGGGAUGACGUCAAAUCAUCAUGCCCCUUAUGACCUGGGCUACAAACGUGAUACAAUGGCUGGAACAAAGGGAUGCGAAGCAGUGAUGUGGAGCGAAACCCAUAAAAACAGUCUCAGUUCGGAUUGAAGUCUGCAACUCGACUUCAUGAAGUCGGAAUCGCUAGUAAUCGCGGAUCAGAACGCCGCGGUGAAUACGUUCUCGGGGUUU